This 75-nucleotide transfer RNA is filed under the name Sporomusaceae bacterium. Its description in RNAcentral is "tRNA-Glu". It matches the Rfam family "tRNA". Rfam says of the family: Transfer RNA (tRNA) molecules are approximately 80 nucleotides in length. Their secondary structure includes four short double-helical elements and three loops (D, anti-codon, and T loops). Further hydrogen bonds mediate the characteristic L-shaped molecular structure. tRNAs have two regions of fundamental functional importance: the anti-codon, which is responsible for specific mRNA codon recognition, and the 3' end, to which the tRNAs corresponding amino acid is attached (by aminoacyl-tRNA synthetases). tRNAs cope with the degeneracy of the genetic code in two manners: having more than one tRNA (with a specific anti-codon) for a particular amino acid; and 'wobble' base-pairing, i.e. permitting non-standard base-pairing at the 3rd anti-codon position. Lineage: Bacteria; Bacillati; Bacillota; Negativicutes; Selenomonadales; Sporomusaceae. The record is from RNAcentral.
GGCCCGUUGGUCAAGUGGUUAAGACACCGCCCUUUCACGGCGAUAACGGGGGUUCGAAUCCCCCACGGGUCACCA